This 404-nucleotide ribosomal RNA is filed under the name uncultured prokaryote. RNAcentral describes it as "bacterial SSU rRNA". It matches the Rfam family "Bacterial small subunit ribosomal RNA", at positions 355 to 776 of the family's 1533-position model. The record is from RNAcentral.
UAGGGAAUCUUGGACAAUGGGCGAAAGCCUGAUCCAGCCAUGCCGCGUGGAUGAUGAAGGCCCUAGGGUUGUAAAAUCCUUUCGCUAGGGAAGAUAAUGACGGUACCUAGUAAAGUAGCCCCGGCUAAUUUCGUGCCAGCAGCCGCCGUAAUUCGAAAGGGGCUAGCGUUGUUCGGAAUUACUGGGCGUAAAGCGCGUGUAGGCGGGUCGGUCAGUCAGAGGUGAAAGCCCAGGGCUCAACCCUGGAAUAGCCUUUGAUACUGCCGACCUUGAGUGUGGGAGAGGUGAGCGGAAUUCCGAGUGUAGAGGUGAAAUUCGUAGAUAUUCGGAGGAACACCAGAGGCGAAGGCGGCUCACUGGAUCACUACUGACGCUGAGACGCGAAAGCGUGGGGAGCAAACAGG